CCCUUCCCCUCCCUUCUCCUCUACCCAGCGUUGCAUCUUCUCCUCUUCUUCUCCGGAUCCUGCCGGAUCCUCCCGCAUGCCGGCUUCUCCUCGAAGAGAAGGGUCACAUGGUUCAGCCCCGGCGAAAUUGGGCUUGGCCAUGCUGCUGCUGGAGGGAAAGCGGUCCGCCGGCGUUUCUCACCAUGCCUCAUGAGUAUGACCGCCUCCACCUCUGCCGCCCGCUUGAGUGUUCAAGGCAAGGUGGACGUGGUGCCUGUGGAAGAGGAGAACUCGUGAACAACUUCCAGUUCAUGGAAAAAACGCUUGCACAUAUGAGUUCUUUCUUCCUCUUCCUCAUUUUUCUAUUUUGGCCUACAUUUUUUUCAUGAGUUUUUAGGGGCAUAUUUUGGGCUUUAGAUUGAUUUGAUAGUGUGCGUGCUGUUGCUACUAGGCGACCCUUGGACCAGUUCGAUGUCUGUGCCCAAUAUUAAUAUUCUCAGUUAGCUUCGUUGGUUAAUUCGUUCUGGAUCUCCGGUACAAAUUUGUUGAUGGUGGAAUGGACGGUAGUUUAUUAUGGUGCGCCUAUUUGUGCCAUUGGAAUUAAUUAUUGUGUGUUCAAGCUCUUGUUUGUUCUGCUUUAAUACGAUGCUAACAUGAAUUAUUCUUUUAAUUUUUGUUCAGUGACGUUCUUCGAUAAAAGAUUUGGUUCAACUUAGUAUUAUUUCUGUUACCAACUUCUUUUCAUGAAAGCCAUUCAUUUUGGCAAGGCCCCAUCACACCUGGAAAUUAUAUUGGUUGCGUGGGAGAAAUUGAAGUUACAGGCCAUAAUUCGCAUGGCUAAGAUGCCCUACAACAGUCUAGAGCUCGGUCGGAUGGAGCAGUUGGGGAGGAGUGGCGGAUGCGCGGGGCAUCGCCGGCCAGAGAGGAUGGGAGGAGCAUAUGCCAGCGAGGGAGGCGGCUCGGCUUGGACCAGCCAUGGUGCCGGCGCUGCUAACUCCCACUAACUCCCACGGGCCUCUUAUUCCCCAUCUCUUCUGGAAGUGAUGAAUCAAGCAAGGAGGAAGGGCGUAGUGUUGGAUAUUUGACCAGGCGAUAUAUAUGGAUGCCUAUGUUCUGAAUAAACAAUAUUUACUUGAACCUAUAUGGUCUGAAAAAAGUUUACACUGCCAAUAUUUUUCCGUGACCUGCCAAGGUAUGAACUAAAACAUCAAUAUCACUCGAACCUAAUCAUGUCAGGGUCUAAAUUAUUGCCUAUCUGCCAAUAUAAUAGCAUGCUAGAUGUUCUUAGAUUCAAUCCAAAAAAGCUUUGUUUGUGUUCCUGUCAAUUUUAGACGUGCAGGUAGCUUGAUAACUUGCUUUUCUUUUUGUUCAGUACAUAUAUACAGUUACACCAUAAGCUCAUCAAUUUGCUCUGAUUAAAUUAGCAAAGCUGAAGCAUGUAAGGAUUCACGUGAGUGAAAGUUCACUUUCUUUCAGGAGAAAAGAACUUUUAGUUAAUACCAGUCGAAUUUGGUAAGGCCAAUAAUUAUAUCCUUUCAUAAUCAUCAGGUUUGCUACACUUAGUCAUAAUAAAGUAUUCUAUUUUUUCUUUUUCACAGUGGCAUUGCAAUGGAUAUUGUUCUUUUACUAGCAGUGUGCUGAGUGUGCACGCAAAGUACAGGUCAUUUUGAGUGGCAAGGGUUGAGAAUUACCAUAAUGUUAAUAUGUUGAAGAACCUUAUAAAAUAUAUAAUUAUAUAUUUGGCACUUUUUAUACUGAUUCAAGUGAAAAAUGUCAUAAUUCUAACAGAUAUUUGCAUCUGCACCAAGUGCGGCAUGCAGUCAUCCUCAUCCUGUCCUGAACGUACCAUGUACUCUGUAUUGAGAAAAGACUAGGGAGUUAAGAAUACCAUGUGGCACCGGAGCAGCCUAAGGGCCAUUAGUUGGGAAUAAGAUGCACUGGAUAUCUGAGUUUAAGUGGUAGCUUCGCACUUUGCAGUAUGGUGAUGUCACUCUUGGUGUGAUGGUCACUAAUCGAGCGUGUCAACUACUCAUAAAAUAGCUCUAUCCAGCAAAUUUUCUUUAGAUUUUGCUUUAUUCUAUUGAUCAGAUUUGCCAAGUCAUUUUUCCUUCGAGGUAUUUAGCAUUGCCAAAUUUAUAUAUUUACCUAAAUUUAAUCGUGACCCGAUUUGCUCUGGUCAAUACAUGCAUGAUGCCUUUUCUUUUCUAUAAAGUGGAUGCAGGGUUAUUUUACCUUUCAGACUCUGAGUUAGAUUAGCCGCACCUGUGUAAACGUUUGAUAGAUGAGCUGUGUCAGGUUGUAGGUACUGCUAAGCACAAAGCUAUAAUUGGAUAUAAUAUUGGAUUUACAAUUAUUUUAUGCAAAAUAUUUCUGGUUAGUUGUAAAAUUCAUAAUAUUCCAGUAUAUUUCAAAUUUUGUUUCAUAGAGAAGCUCCAUCAUUGGAACCAGUAUAGGUCUGCUGAUAAAACCCUUUUGUAUGAUCAUGGUUUUUAGGAAUUGAUAUUCCAAUCAAUCUACUGAUGCGGUAUUUGUGGGAGAUGAAGAGUAGCGACGGGUUCAAUCUAGGGGCCGUCUUUCUCGAGCUACAUUCAUGCUUCACAGCAGUUCACCUUCCCACAAUUGCUCAGAUUCCAAAAUAGGACUAACUUCUGCUUAUUUUCUAAUCUAUUCAUUGUACCUCAAGGUGAACCAAUCUAUCCCACGAGAGCAUAUUUUUCUUAAUUCUACAAUAGAGGAUGCCGUGGUUUUCGUGUUUUGCUUUAAUGUGGGCUGGUUAGGAACUACAGUAAAUGUUUUUCCUGAAAGCUAAUGCUGUUGCACAAUUUCUUUUUGACCGUUUCAUUUUUAUUGUGAGAAAAAUGAUGCUUUUCAUAAAUUGUGCUAAUGUGAACAUGAGUUGUGCGUGUUGAUCUAAAUGAAUUGGAAAAAUGGUCUGGUUGCGGAACAUUUGGUACACAAUUUUUUUAUUCAAGAUGGAACAAGUUUGUUAUCGAUAUUCCUGUAAAUGGUUUGUAUAGUUUGUUUUGUUAUUAAGCAAACAUAUGGUUGUAACACUACUUUUGUUAUCUCACUUCGAGGAAUUCUUUUUGCUGAGAACACUACUUUUCUCCAAUACCCCAAUGAUUUCAUUCCCCAGUACCCUGAGGCCUUGGAUCAGGUUUUCUUCCGAAAAGAUAUUGCUACAGAUUGCUACAGGGUUGAAUGUCUGAUCGACGAUCCUUGUUGCUGAUUUAAGUACUGAUUUCAUCAUCAUAUGACUACAAUAAAGAAGUUGUGUGUAUAAAUAUUACUAACUGCUGAUACUUUGCAUCAGUGAUUUCAAUUC
Molecule: non-coding RNA, 3304 nt
Organism: Aegilops tauschii subsp. strangulata
Lineage: Eukaryota; Viridiplantae; Streptophyta; Magnoliopsida; Poales; Poaceae
Source: RefSeq, a predicted model, not a curated record